CACGGACUCUGAUUCACCAUUUAGAGAGGACUCACUGGUUUUCUCUUCCUGGGCCGUGCGUGGAAAGAAGCACCUGCCUUGCCUCCUUCCCUCCUUUGCCUGUCCAAAGGUGAAUGAUAUGAGUCGGGCAGUGUGCAUGUCUUCCCAGAAGAAAAAAUGAGGCUCAGAUGUGACUCGGUGUCCCCGUUCCAGGAAGGUGCAGAGUGCUGACAGCCACGCCCUGGAGCUUGCGCUUGCCAGUGCUUGCUCUCAGAACUGACUCCUGAGGGAAGGCAAGUGUUUGAAUUGACUUUCUCCAAGGUUCUCACUCUUAGGAAGAUGCAGGUGGAGUUAUCUGUGAUUCUCCCUGUAGGUCAGUGUCUCUGGGAUGCCUUCCCCUUCCUUGACCUCCAUGGGGCCUUCCUCAGCUGAUCACUCACUGUUCCUGCCUCCCAGCCGAUGGCUCUGAUUCUCAAUGGCUUCUGCAUAGUGAAUGCUGUCAGGCAAUCUUCCUGGAUAUCUCCUUCACGACGUUGCUCCUUCUGCCUGAGAAUCUGUAACGAGCACGGAAGGUCUCUGGAUGUUGUGGGGACAUGCUGGGUUGUUCUGAUGGGCCUUUUGGGGGCUCCUGUCC
RNAcentral lists this long non-coding RNA (613 nucleotides) under Homo sapiens (human). RNAcentral's name for it is "HSALNT0158236". The record is from RNAcentral. Lineage: Eukaryota; Metazoa; Chordata; Mammalia; Primates; Hominidae.